RNAcentral lists this non-coding RNA (166 nucleotides) under unclassified sequences. Its description in RNAcentral is "RT-2 RNA". It matches the Rfam family "RT-2 RNA", at positions 40 to 222 of the family's 222-position model. From Rfam's summary of the family: Coriobacteriales (Actinobacteria), Clostridiales (Firmicutes). Downstream gene The record is from Rfam by way of RNAcentral.
UGCUUCCCGUCAGCAAUGGCAAAACUACCUUGUGAUAUAUUUGCACGGACGCUUCUUGCAUGGCAGAAAUAUAUGUGCUAAAUUCUGUUUCAUGUGUAAAUAUUACGCAGUUUAGUCGCACUCUAUAUUAAAAUUGUACGCAAGGUGAAAUAUUUUUUUUAAGGAG